GGUGUGUGAGUGUGCAUAUGUGAGUGUAGGUGUGUGCAUGUGUGUAGGUGUGUGUGUAGGUGUGUGCGCACAUGUGAA
RNAcentral lists this microRNA precursor (78 nucleotides) under Pan troglodytes (chimpanzee). Its description in RNAcentral is "lncRNA (ENSPTRG00000054092.1)". The record is from RNAcentral. Lineage: Eukaryota; Metazoa; Chordata; Mammalia; Primates; Hominidae.